This 666-nucleotide ribosomal RNA is filed under the name Pseudomonas sp. 129(43zx). RNAcentral's name for it is "bacterial SSU rRNA". It matches the Rfam family "Bacterial small subunit ribosomal RNA", at positions 1 to 628 of the family's 1533-position model. The record is from RNAcentral. Lineage: Bacteria; Pseudomonadati; Pseudomonadota; Gammaproteobacteria; Pseudomonadales; Pseudomonadaceae.
GACGGCCAGUGCCAAGCUUGCAUGCCUGCAGGUCGACGAUUAGAGUUUGAUCCUGGCUCAGAUUGAACGCUGGCGGCAGGCCUAACACAUGCAAGUCGAGCGGUAGAAGGAAGCUUGCUUCCUUUGAGAGCGGCGGACGGGUGAGUAAUGCCUAGGAAUCUGCCUGGUAGUGGGGGAUAACGUUCGGAAACGGACGCUAAUACCGCAUACGUCCUACGGGAGAAAGCAGGGGACCUUCGGGCCUUGCGCUAUCAGAUGAGCCUAGGUCGGAUUAGCUUGUUGGUGAGGUAAUGGCUCACCAAGGCGACGAUCCGUAACUGGUCUGAGAGGAUGAUCAGUCACACUGGAACUGAGACACGGUCCAGACUCCUACGGGAGGCAGCAGUGGGGAAUAUUGGACAAUGGGCGAAAGCCUGAUCCAGCCACGCCGCGUGUGUGAAGAAGGUCUUAGGAUUGUAAAGCACUUUAAGUUGGGAGGAAGGGUUGUAGUUUAAUACGCUGCAAUCUUGACGUUACCGACAGAAUAAGCACCGGCUAACUCUGUACCAGCAGCCGCGGUAAUACAGAGGGUGCAAGCGUUAAUCGGAAUUGCUGGGCGUAAACGCGCGUAGGUGGCAAAAGUAAGAUGGGUGUGAAAUCCCCGGGCUCAACCUGGGAACUGCAUCC